GCCGAUAAGUAUUUGUGGGGAACGGCCCAACAGGCCGUAAUCGGUACGGUUUGUGGAGCAAGAGCCCGGAGAUGAAAUUGAGGCACGAUUCCCGGCCCUACGGGGCGCAGCCGGCGCGAAAACUUUACAUGCCAGCAAACUGUGAUAGGGGAACCCCGAGUGCCCGUACACGCGGGCUGUCCCGGUGUUUAAAACACAUCGAAAGAAAGGUGCCGGGCAGAACCGGUGCCAGCCGCCGCGGUAAUACCGGCGGCUCGAGUGGUGACCACUUUUAUUGGGCUUAAAGCGUUCGUAGCUUGAUUUUUAAGUCUCNUGCGAAAUCUCACGGCUUAACUGUGAGGCGUCUAAGAGAUACUGGGAAUCUAGGGACCGGGAGAGGUAAGAGGUACUUCAGGGGUAGAAGUGAAAUUCUGUAAUCCUUGAGGGACCACCGAUGGCGAAGGCAUCUUACCAGAACGGCUUCGACAGUGAGGAACGAAAGCUGGGGGAGCGAACGGGAUUAGAUACCCCGGUAGUCCCAGCCGUAAACUAUGCGCGUUAGGUGUGCCUGUAACUACGAGUUACCGGGGUGCCGAAGUGAAAACGUGAAACGUGCCGCCUGGGAAGUACGGUCGCAAGGCUGAAACUUAAAGGAAUUGGCGGGGGAGCACCACAACGGGUGGAGCUUGCGGUUUAAUUGGACUCAACGCCGGGCAGCUCACCGGAUAGGACAGCGGAAUGAUAGCCGGGCUGAAGACCUUGCUUGACCAGCUGAGAGGAGGUGCAUGGCCGUCGUCAGUUCGUACUGUGAAGCAUCCUGUUUAGUCAGGCAACGAGCGAGACCCAAAUCAUUG
RNAcentral lists this ribosomal RNA (833 nucleotides) under uncultured rumen archaeon. RNAcentral describes it as "bacterial SSU rRNA". It matches the Rfam family "Archaeal small subunit ribosomal RNA", at positions 220 to 1062 of the family's 1478-position model. The record is from RNAcentral.